GCGCCCGUAGCUCAAAGGAUAGAGCAUCGGUCUUCGGAACCGAGGAUACGGGUUCGAUUCCUGUCGGGCGCA
This 72-nucleotide transfer RNA is filed under the name Candidatus Wallbacteria bacterium. Its description in RNAcentral is "tRNA-Arg". It matches the Rfam family "tRNA". From Rfam's summary of the family: Transfer RNA (tRNA) molecules are approximately 80 nucleotides in length. Their secondary structure includes four short double-helical elements and three loops (D, anti-codon, and T loops). Lineage: Bacteria; Candidatus Walliibacteriota. The record is from RNAcentral.